GGAAAGGCCCAGCUUGCUGGGUGCUCGAGUGGCGAACGGGUGAGUAACACGUGGGUGAUCUGCCCCUGACUUUGGGAUAAGCCUGGGAAACUGGGUCUAAUACCGGAUAUGACCUUACGUUGCAUGACGUUUGGUGGAAAGCCUUGUGCGGUUGGGGAUGGGCCCCCGGCCUAUCACCUUGUUGGUGGGGUAAUGGCCUACCAAGGCAACAACGGGUACCCAACCUGAAAGGGUGAUCGGCCACACUGGGACUGAAACACGGCCCAAACUCCUACGGAAGGCACCAUUGGGGAAUAUUGCACAAUGGGCGCAAGCCUGAUGCACCGACCCCCCGUGAGGAAUGACGGCCUUCGGGUUGUAAACCUCUUUCACCAGGGACAAACCUUUUGUGACGGUACCUGGAAAAAAACCACCGGCCAACUACUUGCCACCACCCGCGGUAUUACUUAGGGUGCAAGCGUUGUCCGGAAUUACUGGGCGUAAAAACCUCGUAGGCGGUUUGUCCCGUCUCCUGUGAAAUUCUGCACCUUACCUGCAGGCUUGCAGGCAAUACGGGCAAACUUGAUUACUACAGGGAAGACUGGAUUUCCUGGU
This 594-nucleotide ribosomal RNA is filed under the name uncultured bacterium. RNAcentral's name for it is "bacterial SSU rRNA". It matches the Rfam family "Bacterial small subunit ribosomal RNA", at positions 68 to 674 of the family's 1533-position model. The record is from RNAcentral.